CUCUUCUUCUCUCUUCUCUCUCGUUCGAAACAGCGAUGGAAGAGGCGAUUCGUCGGAAAAUCUGGAAAUUCAAUCGAUUUACAGCGAUGGAAGAGGACGGCGAGGUCGACCGGCUAACAAAUCGGCGAGAUAAGUUCGUGAGAAGACAGAGAAAGUGUAAAUAUGGGGAAGUGUAAAUAUUAAGAAAGAGAGACAGAGAAAGUGUAAAUAUGGGGAAGUUCGUGAGAAGGGGUUGGGUAGUGGCGUGUGUGUUGGUGUUACUGAUGUCGACUCAUUUUACAUCCCCUAUCCGGAGAUAUGCCGAUGUCUUUGUCCAUAGGUUACUUGCGGCAUCAUUAGGAAUAUAUAAGCUUCCAACAGUGUUCCAAGACAGGUCUCAACUUACUAGCGUUGCUGAUAGUAAGAGUCCACUUACCCUCUGUGGAUUAUUCAAGGGUUUAUUAUUUUCCGGCAUCUUGAGUGCUCUGACAAAAUUUGUAAACUUAAGAGUCUUUUGUCCCUUUCCUGAUGUGACGAUAAGGAGAACAUGCUAAAACUCAACUUUUCAUUUUUGUUAUCUUAAAGAUCUUGGAUGAUGAUCGUCUUUUACUAAAGCACCGGAGUUAAGUAUUAUAAUUCAUUGA
Non-coding RNA from Camelina sativa (false flax), 623 nucleotides. The record is from RefSeq and is a predicted model, not a curated record. NCBI's taxonomy places the organism in Eukaryota, Viridiplantae, Streptophyta, Magnoliopsida, Brassicales, Brassicaceae.